CAUGAUGAUGAUGAUGAUGAUGAUGGUGGUGAUGAUGAUGAUGAUGAUGAUGAUGAUGCUGAUGGUGAUGAUGAUGAUGAUGAUGAUGGUGCUGAUGGUGAUGAUGGUGAUGGUGAUGGUGAUGAUGGUGAUGAUGAUGAUGAUGACCAUGAUGAUGAUGAUGGUGAUGGUGAUAAUCAUUAUGAUGAUGAUGAUGAUGAUGAUGAUGAUGAUGAUAAUGAGGUGUCCGCACAGGUGGCCGAACACGUACAGGUGGUCAUACAGGUGUUUAUGCAGGUGUCCGCACAGCUGUCUGUACAGGUGGCCGAACAGAUACAUGUGUUCGUAUGGAUGGCCGAACAGAUGUCUGUACAGGUGUCCGCACAGGUGGCCGAACACGUACAGGUGGUCAUACAGGUUGCUGAACAGGUGCGGGUACAGGUGUCUGUACAGGUGGCCUUACAGGUGGCUGAACAGGUACAGGUGGUCAUACAGGUGGUUGAACAGGUGUGGGUACAGGUGUCCGUACAGGUGUCCGCACAGGUGGCCGAACAGGUACAGGUACAGGUGUUUGUACAAGUGUCCGAAGAAGUACCUGUGUUCGUACGGAUGGCCAAACAGAUGUCUGUACAGGUGGCCAAAUAGGUACAGGUGCAGGUGUUUAUACAGGUGUCCGAACAGAUGUCUGUACAGAUGGCCAAACAGGUACAGAUGCAGGUGUUUAUACAGGUAUCCGAACAGAUGUCUGUACAGGUGGCCGAACAGGUAUACGUGUUCGUACGGAUGGCUGAACAGAUGUCUUUACAGGUGGCUGUACAGGUACAGGUGUCCAUACAGGUGGCCGAACAGGUGUCUGUGCAGGUGGCCGAACAGAUACAGGUGUCUGCACAGGUGGCCGAACAGGUACAAGUGUCCAUACAGGUGUCUGUACAGGUACAGGUGUCCAUACAGGUACAGGUGUCCAUACAGGUGUCUGUUCAGGUGGCUGAACAGGUACAGGUGUUCGUACAGGUGUCCGUACAAGUACAAGUGUCCAUACAGGUGGCCAAACAGGUACAAGUGUCCAUACAGGUGUCCAUACAGGUACAGUUGUCCAUACAGGUGUCUGUACAGGUGUCUGUUCAGGUGGCCGAACAGGUACAGGUGUUCGUACAGGUGUCCGUACAGGUGUCUGUGCAGGUGGCCGAACAGAUACAGGUGUCUGUGCAGGUGGCCGAACAGAUACAGGUGUCUGCACAGGUGGCCAAACAGGUACAAGUGUCCAUACAGGUGUCCGUACAGGUACAGGUGUCCAUGCAGUGUCCGUACAGGUGUCUGUACAGGUGUCUGUUCAGGUGGCAGAACAGGUACAGGUGUUCGCACAGGUGUCUGUACAGGUGUCUGUGCAGGUGGCCGUACAGGUUGCCGUACAUGUACAGGUUUCCAUACAGGUGACCGAACAGGUACAGGCACCUGGUCGUACAGGUGGUCAUCAGGUGCCUGUACAGGUGGUCGUCAGGUGGCUGUACAAGUCCGUACAGGUGGUUGUCAGAUGGCCAUACAGGUGGUUGCAGGUGGCCGUACAGGUGAUCAUCAGGUGGCUGUACAGGUGAUCAUCAAGUGGCCGCACAGGUGGUCAUCAGGUGGCCAUACAGGUGGUCGUCAGGUGGUCGUUGUGUGGCCUUACAGGUGGUUGUCAGGUGGCUGUACAAGUCCGUACAAAUGGUUGUCAGGUGGCCAUACAGGUGGUCUUCAGGUGGUUGUCAGGUGGUCGUCAGGUGGUGGUCAGGUGUCCAUACAGGUGACCGAACAGGUACAGGCACCUGGUCGUACAGGUGGUCGUCAGGUGGUCGUCAGGUGGCCGUACAGGUGGUCGUCAGGUGGCUGUACAAGUCCGUACAGGUGGUUGUCAGAUGGCCAUACAGGUGGGUGCAGGUGGCCGUACAGGUGAUCAUCAGGUGGCCAUACAGGUGGUCGUCAAGUGGCCGUACAGGUGGUUGUCAGGUGGCCUUACAGGUGGUCGUCAGCUGGUCAUCAUGUGGCCUUACAGGUGGGGGUCAGGUGGUGGUCAGGUGGCCGUACAGGUGGUUGUCAGGUGGCCGUACAGGUGGUCUUCAGGUGGUCGUCAGGUGGUCUUCAGGGGGCCGUACAGGUGGUCUUCAGGUGGUCGUACAGGUGGUCUUCAGGUGGUCGUCAGGUGGUCUUCAGGUGGUCGUCAGGUGACCGUACAGGUGGUUGUCAGGUGGUCUUCAGGUGGUCAUACAGGUGGUUGUCAGGUGAUUGUACCACCUGAUGACCACCUGUACACAGGUGGUCGUCAGGUGGCCAUACAGGUGGUCGUCAGGUGGCCGUACAGGUGGCCACACAGGUGGUCAUCAGGUGGUCUUCAAGUGGUUGUCAGGUGGUCAUCAGGUGGCCGUACAGGUGUAGCAGAGCUUUUUUUUUCUUUGUGUUUUUACUGGUUAUUUUUGUACCUGACCGCUGUAAAAGAUUCAGAUGUUUUUUUAAAGUCUGACAGUCGUGUAGCAGAGCACUGUAAAAAGAGAAAAAUGUUUAUAAACUGUUCUUGAUGUGAAAAAAAAGACCAAAAUCUGUCGAUCAAAUGUUUUUAUAUUUACAAAAAAAAAGAAUCUGUAAUGCUCAUCUGUGUGGAAGAAAAACAGGAAGUGAUGUUUUUAUUUUUUAAAGAAAAAAAAACUAUUUUAAAACAAAAAUAUUUUGGCACGUUGGUGGUGAUUGGAUGGUUUCAGCCAUCGUUCCAUAACACUGACUGGACUCUAAUUUAACUACAGUUUAACUUCAGUUAAACUCUAGUUGUUUGAUUUCUAAACAGAACAGAAACAGCCAGUGAGGGACAGGAUUGGUUUUCAAUCCAACUUUAGAUAAUCAGCUCACUGAUCAAUAAUCAGCUGUGUGAUCAAUAAUCAGCUGUGUGAUCCAUUACCUGCCUUAAUGUGUGAGGGUCACCUGGAGGUAGAGUGUUUUGGGCACGGUGGCUGACAGGUGUCUGCAGACAGAGAUGAUGUGAUGAAUGCACUGAAUUGAUUAUAGAUGGAUGAUGAGCUGAUUGAUUAGCAUGA
Epinephelus moara (kelp grouper) is the source of this 3038-nucleotide RNA transcript. RefSeq lists it as uncharacterized. The transcript has 2 exons. Lineage: Eukaryota; Metazoa; Chordata; Actinopteri; Perciformes; Serranidae. The record is from RefSeq and is a predicted model, not a curated record.